GAUUUGCGGUACAGCACAGCAGCGACGGCUCUUGAGAGCUCAAGGGUUGGCAAAGAAAAUAAUUGAUGCUGUAUUGGGUCUCAGCUUUGAUGACUCCUCCAGCAAUCUGGCUGCUGCAACUCUUUUCUAUGUUUUGACGAGUGAUGGUCAAGAUGAUCACCUUUUGGAAUCACCAGGAUGCAUUCAUUUUCUAAUUAACUUGUUGAAACCAGUUAUUUCUACUGCUGCUGAAGACAAAACCCGAAAUAUUGGCAAUAAACUUUUAGCAUUACGCAAAGAUUCUGAUAUCUUAAGAGAUACAACGAAACUGGCAGAUUCUCGCUCUGCUGACAUUGUUGGCAAAGUUAAGGGAAUUCUUGUUAACUCUAAGGACAUGAAGUCAUACG
This 386-nucleotide unclassified non-coding RNA is filed under the name Hevea brasiliensis (rubber tree). Lineage: Eukaryota; Viridiplantae; Streptophyta; Magnoliopsida; Malpighiales; Euphorbiaceae. The record is from RNAcentral.